Molecule: ribosomal RNA, 402 nt
Filed under: uncultured bacterium
Lineage: Bacteria
Description: bacterial SSU rRNA
Rfam family: Bacterial small subunit ribosomal RNA
Source: RNAcentral
UGGGGAAUCUUGCACAAUGGGGGCAACCCUGAUGCAGCGACGCCGCGUGAGCGAUGAAGCCCUUCGGGGCGUAAAGCUCUUUCGACCGGAACGAUAAGGACGGUACCGGGAGAAGAAGCUGCGGCUAACUACGUGCCAGCAGCCGCGGUAAUACGUAGGCAGCAAGCGUUGUUCGGAGUUACUGGGCGUAAAGAGUGCGUAGGCGGUUUUCUAAGUUCGGUGUGAAAUCUCCCGGCUUAACUGGGAGGGUGCGCCGAAGACUGGGAAGCUGGAGUGUGGGAAAGGCAGGCGGAAUUCCUGGUGUAGCGGUGAAAUGCGUAGAUAUCAGGAGGAACACCUGCGGUGUAGACGGCUUGCUAGACCAUAACUGCCGCUGAGGCACGAAAGCGUGGGUAGCAAACA